RNAcentral lists this unclassified non-coding RNA (243 nucleotides) under Rhizophagus clarus. Its description in RNAcentral is "partial contains 5.8S ribosomal RNA and internal transcribed spacer 2". The stretch from base 1 to 71 matches the Rfam family "5.8S ribosomal RNA", at positions 84 to 154 of the family's 154-position model. Lineage: Eukaryota; Fungi; Glomeromycota; Glomeromycetes; Glomerales; Glomeraceae. The record is from RNAcentral.
GUGAAUCAUCAAAUUUUUGAACGCAAAUUGCACUCUCUGGGAUUCCGGAGAGUAUGCCUGUGUGAGGGUCAGUAUAAUCAAAAUCGUAGCGGUGCUUUUUGGGUGACGCACCGGAGUUGGGGCCACUUUAACUCUUUUGUUUUAGAGACCUAAAAUUAACAUUCUUUUUUGCUCACUUUUGUGACGGACAUAAUUUUUUUUUUAUUCGUCUACCCUGGUGUCUAAAAUUUUAUUAGAUCGUGA